Molecule: transfer RNA, 71 nt
Filed under: Kineothrix sp. MB12-C1
Lineage: Bacteria; Bacillati; Bacillota; Clostridia; Lachnospirales; Lachnospiraceae
Description: tRNA-Gly
Rfam family: tRNA
About the family: Transfer RNA (tRNA) molecules are approximately 80 nucleotides in length. Their secondary structure includes four short double-helical elements and three loops (D, anti-codon, and T loops).
Source: RNAcentral
GCAGAUAUGGUUCAUCGGCAGAACGCCGGCUUCCCAAGCCGGAGAGACGGGUUCGACUCCCGCUAUCUGCU